GACGAACGCUGGCGGCGUGCUUAACACAUGCAAGUCGAACGGAAAGGCCCUGCUUUUGUGGGGUGCUCGAGUGGCGAACGGGUGAGUAACACGUGAGUAACCUGCCCUUGACUUUGGGAUAACUUCAGGAAACUGGGGCUAAUACCGGAUAGGAGCUCCUGCUGCAUGGUGGGGGUUGGAAAGUUUCGGCGGUUGGGGAUGGACUCGCGGCUUAUCAGCUUGUUGGUGGGGUAGUGGCUUACCAAGGCUUUGACGGGUAGCCGGCCUGAGAGGGUGACCGGCCACAUGGGGACUGGGAGGCGGCCCAGCCGACUACGGGAGGAAGCGGGGGAGAAUAUUGCACAAUGGGCGGAGGCCUGAUGCAGCACCGCCGCGUGCGGAAUGACGGCAUUCGGGUUGAAAACCGCUUUCGCCUGUGACGAAGCGUGAGAGACGAUAUAGGGAAAAAAAGCACCGUCUAACUACG
RNAcentral lists this ribosomal RNA (466 nucleotides) under uncultured bacterium. Its description in RNAcentral is "partial 16S ribosomal RNA". It matches the Rfam family "Bacterial small subunit ribosomal RNA", at positions 28 to 505 of the family's 1533-position model. The record is from RNAcentral.